RNAcentral lists this ribosomal RNA (403 nucleotides) under uncultured bacterium. RNAcentral describes it as "partial 16S ribosomal RNA". It matches the Rfam family "Bacterial small subunit ribosomal RNA", at positions 28 to 526 of the family's 1533-position model. The record is from RNAcentral.
GACGAACGCUGGCGGCGUGCCUAAUACAUGCAAGUCGAACGCAGGGGGGACGGGUGAGUAACACGUGGGUAACCUCCCAUCAGAGGGGAUAACACUUGGAAACAGGUGCUAAACCGAUACUGAUGGAUGAACCCGCGGGGCAUUAGCUAGUUGGUGAGGUAACGGCUCACCAAGGCCACGAUGCAUAGCCGGCCUGAGAGGAUGAUCGGCCACACUGGGACUGAGACACGGCCCAGACUCCUACGGGAGGCAGCAGUGGGGAAUCUUCGGCAAUGGGCGAAAGGCUGACGCAGCCACGCCGCGUGAGUGAAGAAGGUUUUCGGAUCGUAAAGCUCUGUUGUUAGAGAAGCGUUAUCUACAGAGAAAGCCACGGCUAACUACGUGCCAGCAGCCGCGGUAAUUC